CGAAGUCUGUGAUAUUCUUCAUUUUAUAAUUUAACAAAUGAAGAGUCAUUGGCUUGGUU
Molecule: microRNA precursor, 59 nt
Filed under: Tribolium castaneum (red flour beetle)
Lineage: Eukaryota; Metazoa; Arthropoda; Insecta; Coleoptera; Tenebrionidae
Description: Tca-Mir-11619-P1_pre stem-loop
Source: RNAcentral